This 501-nucleotide ribosomal RNA is filed under the name uncultured bacterium. RNAcentral's name for it is "partial 16S ribosomal RNA". It matches the Rfam family "Bacterial small subunit ribosomal RNA", at positions 30 to 523 of the family's 1533-position model. The record is from RNAcentral.
AUUGAACGCUGGCGGCAUGCCUUACACAUGCAAGUCGAACGGCAGCACGGGUGCUUGCACCUGGUGGCGAGUGGCGAACGGGUGAGUAAUAUAUCGGAACGUACCUUAUUGUGGGGGAUAACGCAGCGAAAGCUGUGCUAAUACCGCAUAAUCCCUAAGGGGGAAAGCGGGGGACCGUAAGGCCUCGCGCAAUUAGAGCGGCCGAUACCUGAUUAGCUAGUUGGUGAGGUAAAGGCUCACGAAGGCAACGAUCAGUAGCAGGUCUGAGAGGACGAUCAGCCACGCUGGGAGUGAGACGCGGCCCAGACUCCUACUGGAGGCAGGAGUGGGGAAUUUUGGACAAUGGGGGCAACCCUGAUCCAGCAAUGCCGCGUGAGUGAAGAAGGCCUUCGGGUUGUAAAGCUCUUCUGUCAGGGAAGAAACAGCAGCUCUAACACAGUUUGCGAAUGACGGUACCUGAAGAAUAAGCACCGGCUAACUACGUGCCAGCCGCCGCAGUAA